Girardinichthys multiradiatus is the source of this 732-nucleotide long non-coding RNA. RefSeq lists it as uncharacterized. The transcript is spliced from 2 exons. The record is from RefSeq and is a predicted model, not a curated record. Lineage: Eukaryota; Metazoa; Chordata; Actinopteri; Cyprinodontiformes; Goodeidae.
GUCAAACUGCAGCUGAUCGUGCUUUAACAGCCCGAUUCUCCUCCUCCGAGGGCCCGGAUGAAUGCAACAUCCAGGCUGCAGAUUUUCUAGCCACAUUGUGUGAUGGUAACUGGACGGUGCUCCUGGAAGCGGAUAGGCAGGAUCUGAGCCAUGGUGCUUUCUUGAGCUUCUCCGGAGUCCUGAAAUUCUACCCGCACAGCUAGCUAGCUAGGCAGUUAGCACCGCGCUAGCUACGACCUCUUCACUGAGAGUGUAGGUCGGAGCCAGUCAGUGAAAACGGCUACACGGUGAGGAAAAAAAUCAAUAUCACGUGUUUUUAGUUGUGUUUCCGAAAUCUGAUACUCGUGAAAAUGUUAAAUUUGUCUUCCUUUUGUGUAUGCUUUCUGCACAGCAUCGAUGGAUAGCGGCGGCUACGGCUGAUCUUCUCUCUGAAAUCCGCAAUGGCGGCGGAAACGGCUCAGUGUUUCCUCUCUGGAAGCAUCCAGGGAGCUCUGGAAGGACACUGGCUCUACCCUGCGCGAGCAAUGUCUGCUUUUCACAAUUUUUUUUAUUUCUGACUUUAUCAACUUUUACUCCAUGAAGCACUGUUGUGCUUCAGUUAUGUGCGUCGGUUCAAAAAAUAUUUUUACUGCAGCUCAAAUCAUGCCUUAAGCGUUUUAUUUAGAGUAGAAACCUUUUUUUUAAAGUUUAGAUAAUUCAGGCAAGACAAAUAAAAAACAGCAUUUAACUUGA